Molecule: ribosomal RNA, 666 nt
Filed under: Tethya sp. 3 JV-2020
Lineage: Eukaryota; Metazoa; Porifera; Demospongiae; Tethyida; Tethyidae
Description: partial large subunit ribosomal RNA
Rfam family: Eukaryotic large subunit ribosomal RNA
Source: RNAcentral
UGGCCGGUGGAAGCCGCAAGGCUCCAGCGGUUGGACGGCUGGUUGACUGAUCUGCACUCCUGGGGGGAGCUGGCCAACAACAGUUGCCUCUGGCUCACGAGGGUGUUUGGGUAGGUAGCCUCCUCGUCUCGAGGUGGAACUUAUAGCCAUCCAUCUGGCAGUCUGGAGACGACUGAAGGAGAGAUGUGAACUUUCACACUUGCAGCACAGGCCCUCCUGGGCCGGGCCGCCUCUUUCCGUUUGGGUACCGCUCCGGGGACUGCUUGCAGUGUCCGCUGACGAAUGCCUGCUUGGUGGGGGGAAUGGUCACGCCUUGUGCUGCAGUUGUUGGUGUCCAAAUGGCUGCAUCCGACCCGUCUUGAAACACGGACCAAGGAGUGCAACAUGCGUGCGAGUCUUGGGGUGGUAAACCCAUCGGCACAAUGAAGGUGAAGGCAGAUUUUGGUCUGCUCAGGCAGGAGCCUCCUCCCAGGGGGCGCACUGUCGACCGAUCCCAGGCUACGCUGUGGUGGGAUUUGAGUAAGAGCGUGCCUGUUGCGACCCGAAAGAUGGUGAACUAUGCCUGAAUAGGGUGAAGCCAGAGGAAACUCUGGUGGAAGCUCGUAGCGAUUCUGACGUGCAAAUCGAUCGUCAAAUUUGGGUAUAGGGGCGAAAGACUAAUCGAAC